RNAcentral lists this ribosomal RNA (465 nucleotides) under uncultured bacterium. RNAcentral's name for it is "partial 16S ribosomal RNA". It matches the Rfam family "Bacterial small subunit ribosomal RNA", at positions 28 to 507 of the family's 1533-position model. The record is from RNAcentral.
GACGAACGCUGGCGGCGUGCUUAACACAUGCAAGUCGUACGGGAAGGCCCUUUCGGGGGUACACGAGUGGCGAACGGGGGAGUAACACGUGAGUAACCUGCCCACAACUUUGGGAUAACGCUAGGAAACUGGUGCUAAUACUGGAUAUGUGCUCCUGCUGCAUGGUGGGGGUUGGAAAGCUCCGGCGGUUGUGGAUGGAGUUGCGGCCUAUCAGCUUGUUGGUGGGGUAGUGGCCUACCAAGGCGGCGACGGGUAGCCGGCCUGAGAGGGUGACCGGCCACAUUGGGACUGAGAUACGGACCAGACUCAUACGGGAGGCAGCAGUGGCGAAUAUUGCACAAUGGGCGUAAGCCUGAUGCAGCUACGCCGCGUGCGGGAUGACGGCCUUCGGGUUGUAAUCCGAUUUCAGCAGGGACGAAGCUUUUUGUGACGGUACCUGCAGAAGAAGCACCGGCUAACUACGUG